GAUGAACGCUGGCGGCGUGCCUAAUACAUGCAAGUCGAGCGAACAGACGAGGAGCUUUCUCCUCUGACUUUGUCGGCGGACGGGUGAGUAACACGUGGAUAACCUACCUAUAAGACUGGGAUAACUUCGGGGAACCGGAGCUAAGACCGAAUAAUAUAUUGAACCUCAUGGUUCAAUAGUGAAAGACGGUUUUGCUUUCACUUAUAGAUGGAUCCGCACCCCAUUAGCUAGUUGGUAGGGUAACGGCUUAACAAGGCAACGAUGCGUAGCCGACCUGAGAGGGUGAUUCCACAGCCUGGAACUGAGAAACAGCCCAGACUCCGACGCGAGGACGCAGUCGGGAAUCUUACGCAAUGGGGGAAAGGCUGAUAGAGCAACGCCGCGUGAGUGCUGAACCUCUUCGGAUCGUAAAACUCUGUUAUUAGGGAAGAACAAAUGUGUAAGUACCUAUGCACGUAUUGACGGUACCUAAUCAGAAAGCCACGGCUAACUCCGUG
Molecule: ribosomal RNA, 497 nt
Filed under: uncultured bacterium
Lineage: Bacteria
Description: partial 16S ribosomal RNA
Rfam family: Bacterial small subunit ribosomal RNA
Source: RNAcentral